UGGAGCACAAGAAAGUGGUAGUUUCGGCCAUCACGAUCAAUCAUCAUGGCUGUUAUGAACACAUUGGCCCAACCUCUUAGGCACAACCCAAGAAUCAAAAUAAAAUUAGAAUUUGAGACUUCAAUUGAAUAUUUUUAUGUCAACAAAUCCUAUGCUUUUAAUGAACACAUCUAAAAUCACUAUAUCUUUAAAGACAGAGAGAAAGAAAAGAAAUCAAUCUAAACCUUUUUGGCUUUAUGGCUCCAAAUAAACUGGUAAGACUGCACUUCUUGAUGAUCCUCUGCUAUGACCAAAAGAAAAGAAUGUUCUUCUUGGUCUACCAGUACUACUACAACCUUCAAUGGGAGUGACCUCAGUAAUUACUUGCCUGCUCUGCUGAACAAUCUCUUGAAUUGAUAAGUACAGCUGCCGAUCUGCUGAUGAAUCCAUUGAAAAAGAUCUCCUUAUGGGUUGGAUUGCAAAUUGAUCAUCUUUACCUCUAAUGUCAAUACAUUCAUCACCCAUGCUAGUUAUCUUGUUAAAUUUUCUUGCUUUCUUGUGAAGAGCUGAUCCUUUCUGCUCUAGUUUCCUCCUUGGUGAAGGGCUAAUCGAACGUACUGAUAACUCCCCUGAAUUCAUCAAUCUGUCCUGUGCUGCAAGCAAUGUUUGAUCUGCAGAAUUAUGAUUACCCAAUUCAAUAACAACAUAAUCUUCAUCUCCACCAAUGACACUUUCGCUGUAAGGAUUUGGAUCUUGUGGGGAAGAGCUUGGAGCUAUAAUGUGAUCAAUAGGGAAUCUUGUAUUGGUGGUUGAAAUGCUGUUUCUGCAAAGUGGACAAUUAGCAUUAUUUUGAAGCCAAACAUCGAUACAAUCUAUAUGGAAAACAUGGCCACAAUUUGGUAUUAUCCUCAGCUUCUCAUCUUCUUGAAACUCGUUCAAGCAAACUGCACAUUCACAGAAGUUUCUUUCUCCAAAGUCUCUACUGAUCUUGCCUCCUUUCUUGAACUUGAAUAUUGGGAUUGACCUUAUCACUGACUCGUCCAGUCCACGAGUUUCCAUUGCAGGAGAGUAGCCCAUUAAAGGGUCUUCAUGAUUUCGGUUUCUUGAUAGAGAGAAUCGCCUGAGAAGAUCGAUGCGGUGCCAGUUGAGGCAGCAUUUGAUGACAAAGAUGUAAUAGCUAACUAGCAAGAAAGCUGUUGCUAAAAUUCCUAUGAUGGCUAUGGCUAUAAUGGGGAAACUUGUGUCUGAAGAAUGAGAAUGAGGGGCAAAGAUUGAGCUACCAGUAGGACUUGUGAUUGGGGGAAUAGAGCUUUUGCUUACAAGAUCCAUGAAAUGGAGCUUUUAGAUCUUGAACUAAUGUAAAACAACAUGCAAAUAAAUUAUGCAAGAACACCAAGGAAUACUAUAACCAAUUCUAUGAAAUAACUUGAAACACAGCGAAAUGAAAGAAACAGAAAACUAUUGGAGAAGAGAGAAAACCAACAUAUUAAUCAACAAUAAAGAAAGAUUUGAAAAGGGACAAAUGUAGACUCAAAAAAGAUGCAAGAACGUGGAGAAGAGAGGAAACCCAGGUGGUGUAAAUGAGGGAGGUGUCAAAUGGGGACAUGAAAGCCUUGAAAUUCAAUGAAAAUGUG
Molecule: unclassified non-coding RNA, 1613 nt
Filed under: Hevea brasiliensis (rubber tree)
Lineage: Eukaryota; Viridiplantae; Streptophyta; Magnoliopsida; Malpighiales; Euphorbiaceae
Source: RNAcentral